AAAACUAAGCUUCAUUUGUUUAGCAGGUAGAUCAGUGGGUAAGAAGUUGGGCUACUAAUAUGUAGAUUUGGGUUUGAUUACUUGUCAAGCUACCUGUGUCCUUGGACAAGACACGUCAUCUGCAUUGUCUCAGUCCAC
Molecule: long non-coding RNA, 138 nt
Organism: Thalassophryne amazonica
Lineage: Eukaryota; Metazoa; Chordata; Actinopteri; Batrachoidiformes; Batrachoididae
Exons: 3
Source: RefSeq, a predicted model, not a curated record